UUUACAUUCUUGAAUCAUUUUUAUAGUUGAAAUAAAUGAUUUCCAUAAUCAUAGAAUACAAACUAUCGAAAGUGGCACCCGUAUCACGAAUCUGGUGUUGUUUUAUUCGUUUGGCUAUUAAAAUAGUGUGGAUUAAUGAUACUAUUGCUUGUUCCUUUAGAUUCUGGACUUUCCUCUUCGUUGGUUUCAUAACUUUUUAUUUCUUUUCAAUAAACUUCUUUUCUAUCCCCUCUCGUCAUAUUUACCUACUAUCUACUCUCGUCUCUCAGGAACUUUUUUUUUUUUUUGAUAAUCAUGAUUAAGUUUAAUUUAAAAAUAUAACCUCUCUCAGGAACUUUUUAUAACAUAAGGGAAAAUUUGUACCGUUGAGAAACUCAACCAGUUUGUUAAAGUUAUAUAUAUUAAUAUUUAACAAUUAAACUAUUAAACCAUUUUUACCAAAAUAUUAACCGUCGACAUGUGGCGUUAAAAUUUCUCAUGGAUUUGCAAAUGUUUU
RNAcentral lists this long non-coding RNA (496 nucleotides) under Brassica rapa (field mustard). Its description in RNAcentral is "long non-coding RNA (BRAP_LNC000177)". The record is from RNAcentral. Lineage: Eukaryota; Viridiplantae; Streptophyta; Magnoliopsida; Brassicales; Brassicaceae.